AACGAACGCUGGCGGCAGGCCUAACACAUGCAAGUCGAACGAGUAAGAGCCGUAGCAAUACGGAGUUCUGCUAGUGGCGCACGGGUGAGUAACGCGUGGGAACGUGCCUUGGAGUUCGGGAUAACAGUUGGAAACGACUGCUAAUACCGAAUAUUCCCUCAGGGGAAAGAUUUAUCGCUCCAAGAUCGGCCCGCGUAAGAUUAGGUAGUUGGUGGGGUAAUGGCCUACCAAGCCUACGAUCUUUAGCUGGUCUGAGAGGACGACCAGCCACACUGGAACUGAGACACGGUCCAGACUCCUACGGGAGGCAGCAGUGGGGAAUAUUGGACAAUGGGCGAAAGCCUGAUCCAGCCAUGCCGCGUGAAUGAUGAAGGCCUUAGGGUUGUAAAAAUUCUUUUGUCAGGGGAAGAUAAUGACGGUACCCUGCGAAUAAGCUCCGGCUAACUCGUGCCAGCAGCCGCGGUAAU
Molecule: ribosomal RNA, 467 nt
Filed under: uncultured bacterium
Lineage: Bacteria
Description: bacterial SSU rRNA
Rfam family: Bacterial small subunit ribosomal RNA
Source: RNAcentral